This 429-nucleotide ribosomal RNA is filed under the name Chloroflexota bacterium. RNAcentral's name for it is "Chloroflexi bacterium partial 16S ribosomal RNA". It matches the Rfam family "Bacterial small subunit ribosomal RNA", at positions 355 to 776 of the family's 1533-position model. The record is from RNAcentral. Lineage: Bacteria; Bacillati; Chloroflexota.
UGGGGAAUAUUGCACAAUGGGCGCAAGCCUGAUGCAGCCAUGCCGCGUGUGUGAAGAAGGCCUUCGGGUUGUAAAGCACUUUCAGCGGGGAGGAAGGCGUUAAGGUUAAUAACCUUGGCGAUUGACGUUACCCGCAGAAGAAGCACCGGCUAACUCCGUGCCAGCAGCCGCGGUAAUACGGAGGGUGCAAGCGUUAAUCGGAAUUACUGGGCGUAAAGCGCACGCAGGCGGUCUGUCAAGUCGGAUGUGAAAUCCCCGGGCCCAACCUGGGAACUGCAUUCGAACCUGGCAGGCUAGAGUCUUGUAGAGGAGGGUAGAAUUCCAGGUGUAGCGGUGAAAUGCGUAGAGAUCUGGAGGAAUACCGGUGGCGAAGGCGGCCCCCUGGACAAAGACUGACGCUCAGGUGCGAAAGCGUGGGGAGCAAACAGG